CCUGGUGGCUCAGAUGGUAAAAGCAUCUGUUUGCAAUGCAGGAAGACCCAGGUUCCAUCCCUGGGUCAGGA
This 71-nucleotide transfer RNA is filed under the name Ovis aries (sheep). It matches the Rfam family "tRNA". Rfam says of the family: Transfer RNA (tRNA) molecules are approximately 80 nucleotides in length. Their secondary structure includes four short double-helical elements and three loops (D, anti-codon, and T loops). Further hydrogen bonds mediate the characteristic L-shaped molecular structure. tRNAs have two regions of fundamental functional importance: the anti-codon, which is responsible for specific mRNA codon recognition, and the 3' end, to which the tRNAs corresponding amino acid is attached (by aminoacyl-tRNA synthetases). tRNAs cope with the degeneracy of the genetic code in two manners: having more than one tRNA (with a specific anti-codon) for a particular amino acid; and 'wobble' base-pairing, i.e. permitting non-standard base-pairing at the 3rd anti-codon position. Lineage: Eukaryota; Metazoa; Chordata; Mammalia; Artiodactyla; Bovidae. The record is from Rfam by way of RNAcentral.